RNAcentral lists this ribosomal RNA (462 nucleotides) under Acanthamoeba genotype T4. Its description in RNAcentral is "SSU rRNA". It matches the Rfam family "Eukaryotic small subunit ribosomal RNA", at positions 740 to 1096 of the family's 1831-position model. Lineage: Eukaryota; Discosea; Longamoebia; Acanthamoebidae. The record is from RNAcentral.
GGCCCAGAUCGUUUACCGUGAAAAAAUUAGAGUGUUCAAAGCAGGCAGAUCCAAUUUUCUGCCACCGAAUACAUUAGCAUGGGAUAAUGGAAUAGGACCCUGUCCUCCUAUUUUCAGUUGGUUUUGGCAGCGCGAGGACUAGGGUAAUGAUUAAUAGGGAUAGUUGGGGGCAUUAAUAUUUAAUUGUCAGAGGUGAAAUUCUUGGAUUUAUGAAAGAUUAACUUCUGCGAAAGCAUCUGCCAAGGAUGUUUUCAUUAAUCAAGAACGAAAGUUAGGGGAUCGAAGACGAUCAGAUACCGUCGUAGUCUUAACCAUAAACGAUGCCGACCAGCGAUUAGGAGACGUUGAAUACAAAACACCACCAUCGGCGCGGUCGUCCUUGGCGUCUCGGUUUCGGCCGGGGCGCGGGGACGGCUUAGCCCGGUGGCACCGGUGAAUGACUCCCCUAGCAGCUUGUGAGAA